UCGUGCUAGAUGGGGAGCUAGCGGUGCCCUGACUCCAUUUCGGUGGCUGACCCGCAACCCGCUACAGCGGGGUCGAAUAUCUUUUCGAGGGGCGCACGUUUCGGGACUGUUCAGUUCGUGUGGCGAUGAAGGUUGGGUCCGGCGCGGCAAAAGCCGACAAACCCCGCCAGGGUCGGAAGACAGCAACGGUAAGUCGUCACUUUUGGGCGCCGCCGGGGUACCUGGCUGGAGUUUACUGUUCAGGACAAGCCGGGGCGCGCGUUUCGACAAAAGGGUGCACGA
RNAcentral lists this signal recognition particle RNA (282 nucleotides) under Chloroflexota bacterium. RNAcentral's name for it is "Chloroflexi bacterium (groundwater metagenome) signal recognition particle sRNA large type". It matches the Rfam family "Bacterial large signal recognition particle RNA". From Rfam's summary of the family: The signal recognition particle (SRP) is a universally conserved ribonucleoprotein involved in the co-translational targeting of proteins to membranes. Archaeal SRP consists of a 7S RNA and homologues of the eukaryotic SRP19 and SRP54 proteins. Lineage: Bacteria; Bacillati; Chloroflexota. The record is from RNAcentral.